Molecule: long non-coding RNA, 383 nt
Organism: Neofelis nebulosa (Clouded leopard)
Lineage: Eukaryota; Metazoa; Chordata; Mammalia; Carnivora; Felidae
Exons: 3
Source: RefSeq, a predicted model, not a curated record
AAGAAGGAAGUAAAGCUGCGGCAGUGGACAAGUUACUGGCCAGGGAUGAGAUUGUCGGCAUCAACGACAUUGGUCUCUCAGCAUUUAGACAGGAGGCGAUUUGCCUAGUGAAGGGCUCUCAUAAAACCCUGAAGCUGGUAGUGAAAAGGAAGAAUGAGCUGAGCUGGAGGCCUCACUCCUGGCAAGUUCUCUGAUAGCCACCCCGACACACCAGCAUCUCCAUUCCCCUCUGCCAGCUCCUGUCCUUCCUGGCACGGCCGUCACCACCCCAGUUCUUCCUCCCAUGACCUGUCUGGCACGUGGGAGCACACGAAUCUGCAGCGUACCUCUGACCACUUUAGUUUCCUGGGGAGCGUCGACAGCCUGGGCGGCCCGAGCAAGCC